This 1493-nucleotide long non-coding RNA is filed under the name Helianthus annuus (common sunflower). RNAcentral describes it as "hypothetical non coding rna". Lineage: Eukaryota; Viridiplantae; Streptophyta; Magnoliopsida; Asterales; Asteraceae. The record is from RNAcentral.
CCAGUUAUAUCCAACAUGUAAAAUAAUCAUAACCUAUUCAAAUCCGAAUAUGUAGAAAUGGCCACAUUGUUCUCGAGAACUUACUUUACAUGACCUACAUAAUUUAAUCCUUCGGGACUUUCAUGUAAACUCAGUAUCAAAUGGUACAUAACAUUCAUAAGACGAAUAUCAAUUCUCUCUUUAUAUUACCAGACUACUAAAAUAUUGGAAAGUCAAUGCAUCCACCACUGGAGAAUACGUCUCCUCAUAAUCAAUCAUAGGUCUUUACGAAAAUUAUUGUGCCACCAAUUUUUCCUUAUAUCACUCAAUUUGAUUUUCACAUAAUUCGCAUAAAAGACCUGUUUAUAUCCAACAUAUUUUACAACUUCAGUUGUAUAUACUGUUUGUCCAGAUACUUUCCAUGUCUUUAGAGAAUUCAGCUUUGCCUUAUUUGCGCAGAUCUUAAAUCUUGAUCCUCUCAUUUAAUCAUUUUAAGCGCUACAUUAUAUACAAAAGUAUAACGACGUCGAUUUUUAUUUCGAUUCCAUACAUAUCUUAGACAUGAUACAAUCAUCGAUAUCUCUUUAUUUUCAGGUACCUGAGGUUCUUCUUGAACCAUCAUGUCUAUUGUCUCUUCAAGAGAUCUUAUUACUAUAACAUCGACUUGACCAUCUUAAUUACUUGCUCCAAUUUUCAAGAAAUUUUAUUAUUGGAAUCAACUAGUCUACCACACUUUACGCGUGCAAUAGACUCAUUACAAAAAUAUGUGGUUGUCCUCUUGGGACAAAAAUAUAACUGGAGCAUAAGCAGUUGAUUAUGUGACUUACUUAGUCACUUUAUUUAGGUCAGUGACCUUGUCUGGUAAUUUGUUCUUUAAUAUUGGUAAAUGAAUUAUACUUUAAACUUCUAGUUCAUAGUUUAUAGUCUGAGGAUCAAUAUGACAUGAUAAUUCAUUUCACUUUUCACUUUCCAACUGCUUGUUAUCUCCCCUAAUGUUGGGAACAUUCAUUCACUAAAGUGAAAACCAAUGAGCCAUAAACGAAUACUAAUGCCUUUAAGUAUUUAAUCAUAGACGAUUAUUUAUACCCAACAUAUUCUUAAACUUUUUAGAAGUCCCGUCUUUGUGCGGUAUGGUGGAUAAGUUUCAAUAUAUGUCGCACAACCAAAAUCUUUGAUGAGACAUCUUUGGUUCCUGACCAAAAACCAACUGUAUGGGGAGAACUAUAACUUAUUGGCUUGAUGUGAAUUGAUGGUACUAUAUAUAAAAUUUCAUGUACCUAAAUGAACUUUUUCUCCUCUCAUGAUCAUUGGCUUUGUAACCAAUAAUAUACGUUUAGUGAUCAUCUCAACAAUAACACUUAUUCCAAUUAUCGUUAAUAACUUGGGAAUCAAAUUCACUAUUAUCAAAUAAAUAUACCAAUAUGGAUUAAUGUGUUUGCUAUCACAUUAGCUAAGCCACAAUCACACAAGCUUCAGGUUGUGGAUUUCAUAACCAUUUAGACGAUGCAUCGAUU